AGAACCCCUUGCAACAUUUCCGGUAAGGUGGGUCUCGUGAUGAACUCCCUCAGCUUCCAUUUGUCUGAGAAAGACUUUCUAUCUCCUUCAUUUUGAAGUAUAACUUUACCAGGUUGAAAAGGUACAUGCUGCUUGUUUUAUUUGAAAGACACGCUGUGUAAUCUCACCACAUAUAAGACAUCCUAUAACUAAUCAUCAUUCUCUUCCUGAAAAUCUGAGAAUAUAAGCACCUCCUCCCGGCUCAGAUAACCUCCCAAGCAUGGAGAAUGGCAUAUUUAAGAGCGGUAGCAAGAUGGAGAAAAUACUGACACUGAUACAAUUAAAACACAGAUUACUUGGGAUUGAUUUUCUUCUCAAGAAGCCUCCCAGCGACAGAAAGUAUCUCCUUCAUCACUGACUACAAGCUGCAAAUCUAUUUUCAAUGGUUGCAACUAUAUCCCAAACAAAAUAAAUAUAAU
Neofelis nebulosa (Clouded leopard) is the source of this 458-nucleotide long non-coding RNA. RefSeq lists it as uncharacterized. The transcript has 3 exons. NCBI's taxonomy places the organism in Eukaryota, Metazoa, Chordata, Mammalia, Carnivora, Felidae. The record is from RefSeq and is a predicted model, not a curated record.